GGUUGUGGCCUUUGAAUGUUGGA
This 23-nucleotide non-coding RNA is filed under the name Arabidopsis thaliana (thale cress). The record is from RNAcentral. Lineage: Eukaryota; Viridiplantae; Streptophyta; Magnoliopsida; Brassicales; Brassicaceae.